This 252-nucleotide ribosomal RNA is filed under the name uncultured bacterium. Its description in RNAcentral is "partial 16S ribosomal RNA". It matches the Rfam family "Bacterial small subunit ribosomal RNA", at positions 524 to 776 of the family's 1533-position model. The record is from RNAcentral.
UACGUAGGUCCCGAGCGUUGUCCGGAUUUAUUGGGCGUAAAGCAAGCGCAGGUGGUUUAUUAAGUCUGGUGUAAAAGGCAGUGGCUCAACCAUUGUAUGCAUUGGAAACUGGUAGACUUGAGUGCAGGAGAGGAGAGUGGAAUUCCAUGUGUAGCGGUGAAAUGCGUAGAUAUAUGGAGGAACACCGGUGGCGAAAGCGGCUCUCUGGCCUGUAACUGACGCUGAGGCUCGAAAGCGUGGGGAGCAAACAGG